Alligator mississippiensis (American alligator) is the source of this 806-nucleotide long non-coding RNA. RefSeq lists it as uncharacterized. Lineage: Eukaryota; Metazoa; Chordata; Crocodylia; Alligatoridae. The transcript is spliced from 3 exons. The record is from RefSeq and is a predicted model, not a curated record.
GCUUGUAGGAAAACAAACUCAGGGCAGUGGUAGAAAGCCCUGCAACACCUAUAGCCGUCACAGUGUGAAAUGCCAAAAUAAUAAGCUUAUUGCUCUCUGUCCUUCUAGGUUAUUGCAAGUUACUUUACCUUUUGACAGAGGGCAGGUAAAAAUAAGUCUUAUAAUAGAGUUGUCGCAGAGCACUAAGGUGCCCUGCUCCUAAACAGGGGAAACUGCUAGGGAAAGAGCCCUAGCAGUGAGUCAGGAGCCCAGCUGUUAGUCACCAGGGCAACUAGAGUAGUUAGUGACCCACACCUGUCAGCGGUCAGCUGAUCAAAGGGGGGCAGGGCCUGGCACAUAUAAACCCCUUGCCAGCAGCCAGGGGGGAUGGAGCUCUCUCUGAGCAAGCUGAGAGGAGUGGCCUGACUGCAGGUACAGCCUUGAGCCUGACACUUUUGCUGGAGAAUGUGAGCAUAAAGUGGAUUGUAUUUGGAAGGAUGAUGAUGGCAGCACAGAUUGCAACAUGCCAGUGAGGAACCUGGAGAGCCUGAUUCUUUUGUAGCUUGGGAAUGCUUCGUGUGCUAUCAGGGAUUCAGAAAAUGAACAUGGUACUUAGUCUGGCCCUGUCACAAGUGCCAUCCAUGAACUCUGGAGGUUCCAGCCUUGCUGUCUGUGGACCUGCCUGGCCAGUCAGGGCUGGUAGCUGCAUGUUGUCCAGUGCACCUGGGAUGAUGAGCAGUGGCUGGAGCCACUUUGGAUGACCUGGGCCUCCUUCCAGGAGCUCCUCAACCAGCUUCAACUGUACCUGGAGUGGCAGGUCACCACCA